GUUUAAACGUCUGUUUUAAAAAUUAGAAAAACUACCGCAGAGUUCUUCUUGUUUCAACGCCGUAAAAUGUUAUCAUUUCCGGAAAGAAACGUUCGCUUCCGGCGAACAUGAAACUGAGGAACUUCAGUAUCUUCUAAUGAGCGUCCGCUACGGCGAUACACGCGAAUAAGAUAGGACCAGUUGAGAGAAUAAAAAUGGCAAGUAAAAACAAUCUUUAACUCGUAGCUUUUUUUUUUCAAAUAAUUUUAAUCACACUUGAUGAUUCUCGAUCACGAUCAAGAUGAAUCGAUAUACAGUAGCUCGCGUAACAGUCGAAGUUAGGUUAUAGCCGUUUUCAUUGUAACUGUUGAAUGGUCAACGAAAAUGGCGAAAUGCUGGUGAUCGGAUCUUGCGCAAUAAACGCCACGCUAUGGAACGAGAAAUAUGGCACUGGAUAACCGCAAUCGAUGAACCUAUGGCACCUGUGUUUAUUCAUGCGAUUUGAACGAUAACUUGACACUUUUAUCGUUCAUCUUAUAAUAAUUUUCUUUUUCAUAAGUAAUGUGCUUUCCAUCUACUCUACAAUGUAAGAUUUAAAUACAUACCUGUACGAUAUGCGCGUGUAUGGAAAAAACUGACAGCAGCGACACGGUUGCACUUUAACUAAACACACACAUAUGUAUGGUGUACGUAUUUAUACCUUUUGAUAUGUACAUUUUAGCAUACCAUGAAAGAUUUGUUUAUUCUAUGGUUGGUGGUUGUAAAAAAGAGAUGGACGAAAGAAAGAAAGAAAGACCGUCUCGUUUUAGUCCUGUUAGGGAACUUGUCGGUAAGGCUACCUAGCCGGUUCGCGCCUUAGACGAAUGAUUGUUAACAUCUUGUAAGUUUAGAUUUCUUUUUACAUCGAAAAAGAUUACUGAGAGAACUGUGUUUAAGAGUUUUUAUAAUGGACGCCAUAAAAUGACCAGUUUUCAAUUGGAAGGUAGAUAGUAUAAUAAAGGGGAAUGAACUGGAUAAUGCUGAAGUAAAAGGUUUAAUAUUAAAGUAAUAAUGAAUAGGUGACAUAUGUAGGAAAGGAUAACUAGUGACGAUUAACGAGAUUGUUAUUACAGAUAUCCUGGUAGCAAGUGUAAGGAUCAUUGCUACAAUUUUUAAUGGCCACAUUCAAGUUCGUUAUAGUCGCGUAUACGAAAUAAGGAGAUUCUGGUUUAGUAAAAUUGAGAACAUCCGUAUCGUUACGAAUAAAAGCUGUUAAUAGUUAGCUGCAUAAUCAUGUUUUGUCAUUGAACGAAGUAUAGUAAGAGGAUGUGCUGUGAUAUUCAUGGAACUUUGAACUACUUAUUAAUAUUGAUUAUUACGUUAAUGAACAUCCUUUAAUUCUUCAGUAGGUUUACUCUGACUACUUUUACAUACUCAAUAGUCUGUCUCGAUUUUGAAGUUAUCUAUGGAUGAACUGAAUUUUUCAAUGAAGAUCAAACUAUACGAAAUCAUACUGCAGUUAUCUUUUCUUGCUACCUGCAUAUUCUACGUUAACUGACCAAUGCACAAUUAAAUGUGUUCAACUACAUUUGACUAUACAACAUCGCUGCCAGAUGAAGACUUUAUAAUGAAGCUUUCUUAUUCGACCAUUUUCGACUUAUUUCUGGCAACGGUGACUGAUACUACAUCCUCUAUAAAAUCACUAGGAUAAGGAUGAAGAAUAUAAUUAUCCGCUUCGCGCUUCGGCGCGUUAGACCAAAUUAAAACCUUAAUUACAGUUUAAUUUCAAAACUAAUUCGACAUAAAAAGCAGUCCCGAAUUCGACCAUUGCGCCAUCCAUAUACAAACAACGAAAACUACUCGAUAACAUACCGACAGGUUUACCGAAAGCAGAUAAACAACCAGCGCCAUCUAAUAAAAAUCGGCGAAAUCUACUCGAAAAUUGAUCGAACGAGUUCGGUCAAUAUCGGGUCAGUAUGAUAAUCGUACCUGUUUUACCAGUUCCUCUUUUACCGCAUCUCGCAUAGACUACUGAAAAGACAUAAUUUUGACUCCCUCUGACCAUUUUUUAUAAAUUAAUUAAAAUUAGUACAAGACCGAAACAUCAUUAAAAUAGUUGUAAGAUAAACUUGUAUUGACCUCACGUGCCUUGAUAAAUAAAUCAUUUUA
This is a long non-coding RNA of Osmia lignaria (orchard mason bee), 2127 nucleotides long. RefSeq lists it as uncharacterized. NCBI's taxonomy places the organism in Eukaryota, Metazoa, Arthropoda, Insecta, Hymenoptera, Megachilidae. The record is from RefSeq and is a predicted model, not a curated record.